AGUCUUACUGAAGCAGCUUAGCAUUCAAUCUGCAGCCACCUACUCCCAGGGAGAGCCAUUGUUUAAUAUUAAUGUUCACCUAAAUUGAAGCAACGCCCUGCUGCCUUCACAGCCAUUCAAGGAGAAAUUCUCACCCUCAGAGAGAGGUAAAGAGAGAAAAAGAAUAAAGUGUGCCUGCUUGCUUACCCGCCUGACACAAUGUUCUGGGAAAGGAAACAAUGUUCUCUCCCUAAAAAGUC
RNAcentral lists this long non-coding RNA (239 nucleotides) under Homo sapiens (human). RNAcentral's name for it is "HSALNT0374093". The record is from RNAcentral. Lineage: Eukaryota; Metazoa; Chordata; Mammalia; Primates; Hominidae.